AAAAGCGGCCGUGCAUGUUUCGAGCAUCAUUCAGAUACCGAUACGCAAACGUGUGCAUCUCAAGUCGUGAACAAUGUCGAAAAUUGUUUUAUUGUUGGUGUUGUUGUGUGGUGUGAUGUGUUGCGGGAUGCACAUCCACCCAAGGGGCGCAGUUCAUACGGAAGGCGAAAUGACGCAUGAUGAAAUGAGAGAGCCGGUCACCUCGGAUGAUGGAAUACCCAUUGACGUUCUUCGUAAUCUAAAGCCGACGCGGUUCGUUCCGAUAAACAGCGUGCUGUUUUUCAAGUCUUAUCCACCCUGCGAACCUGGAUUUGAAAGGGAUCUAAUUGGAGUUUGCAGAGAAGUAUGGGACUGAUAAGAAGUCUCUAUAAGCAAUAUCAACGUCUCGAGUUAAAAACUAUGAUAAUAUAGGUUUUCAAAAGCCUUCUACGUGAGAUAAUCAGACUGUUAAAAAUUAUUGGAUAUUAAUAUGUCUAUUUCGGUAUUAUAUUUAUUCGAUAGUAAAAAGUUAUUUAAUGAUGUGAACUUAUAUAAAGGAAUAAGAUAUAUUUGUUAACAACAAAAUUUUAUCUCAACAGCGUUUUGGACAAAGCAUAUCCUUCGUAUUUGUAAUAUUAUAAUGUGAUUUAAAAUUGUGCAGUGAUAUUAGCGUAAGACCCACUUUUAAUUGUAUAAGCUUAGUGUGAAUGUUAGCCAGUGUUUCAUUUUAUGUAAAGAAGAGUGAGAGUUUUAUUUAUAAGGGAUAUUUAUAAGUUACACAAAAUAAACGUGAACUCAUUGCUGA
Long non-coding RNA from Manduca sexta (tobacco hornworm), 784 nucleotides. RefSeq lists it as uncharacterized. Lineage: Eukaryota; Metazoa; Arthropoda; Insecta; Lepidoptera; Sphingidae. The transcript has 2 exons. The record is from RefSeq and is a predicted model, not a curated record.